GGAUAGCUCAGUGGGUAGAGCACAAGGCUCGAAACCUUGCUGUCGCGGGUUCGAUUCCCGCUCCGA
This 66-nucleotide transfer RNA is filed under the name Methylobacteriaceae bacterium. Its description in RNAcentral is "tRNA-Ser". It matches the Rfam family "tRNA", at positions 5 to 66 of the family's 71-position model. From Rfam's summary of the family: Transfer RNA (tRNA) molecules are approximately 80 nucleotides in length. Their secondary structure includes four short double-helical elements and three loops (D, anti-codon, and T loops). The record is from RNAcentral. Lineage: Bacteria; Pseudomonadati; Pseudomonadota; Alphaproteobacteria; Hyphomicrobiales; Methylobacteriaceae.